CCAGAGAAUUUAGCAGAGAUGCUUUAGUGCCUUCGGGAACUCUGAGACAGGUGCUGCAUGGCUGUCGUCAGCUCGUGUUGUGAAAUGUUGGUUAAGUCCCGCAACGAGCGCAACCCCUAUCCUUUGUUGCCAGCGAUUCGGUCGGGAACUCAAAGGAGACUGCCGGUGAUAAACCGGAGGAAGGUGGGGAUGACGUCAAGUCAUCAUGGCCCUUACGAGUAGGGCUACACACGUGCUACAAUGGCGCAUACAAAGAGAAGCGACCUCGCGAGAGCAAGCGGACCUCAUAAAGUGCGUCGUAGUCCGGAUUGGAGUCUGCAACUCGACUCCAUGAAGUCGGAAUCGCUAGUAAUCGUAGAUCAGAAUGCUACGGUGAAUACGUUCCCGGGCCUUGUACACACCGCCCGUCACACCAUGGGAGUGGGUUGCAAAAGAAGUAGAUAGCUUAACCUUCGGGAGGGCGUUUACCACUUUGUGAUUCAUGACUGGGGGUGAAGUCGUAACAAGGUAAGCGUAGCGAG
RNAcentral lists this ribosomal RNA (521 nucleotides) under uncultured bacterium. RNAcentral's name for it is "bacterial SSU rRNA". It matches the Rfam family "Bacterial small subunit ribosomal RNA", at positions 988 to 1509 of the family's 1533-position model. The record is from RNAcentral.